RNAcentral lists this ribosomal RNA (354 nucleotides) under uncultured bacterium. RNAcentral's name for it is "partial 16S ribosomal RNA". It matches the Rfam family "Bacterial small subunit ribosomal RNA", at positions 338 to 690 of the family's 1533-position model. The record is from RNAcentral.
CCUACGGGAGGCAGCAGUGAGGAAUAUUGGUCAAUGGUCGGGAGACUGAACCAGCCAAGCCGCGUGAGGGAUGAAGGUACAGAGUAUCGUAAACCUCUUUUGUCAGGGCACAACGGCGGGGACGUGUCCCCGGAUGCGUGUACCUGAAGAAAAAGCAUCGGCUAACUCAGUGCCAGCAGCCGCGGUAAUACGGAGGAUGCGAGCGUUAUCCGGAUUUAGUGGGUGUAAAGGGUGCGCAGUGGGUCUGUUAAGUCAGCGGUCCAAGCCCGGGGCGCGACCCCGGCCCGCCGUUGAAACUGGCAGUCUCGAGUUGGAGAGAAGUAUGCGGAAUGCGCGGUGUAGCGGUGAAAUGCA